Molecule: ribosomal RNA, 447 nt
Filed under: uncultured bacterium
Lineage: Bacteria
Description: bacterial SSU rRNA
Rfam family: Bacterial small subunit ribosomal RNA
Source: RNAcentral
UCGGGAAUUUUGGGCAAUGGGGGAAACCCUGACCCAGCAACGCCGCGUGAAGGAUGAAGUAUUUCGGUAUGUAAACUUCGAAAGAAUAGGAAGAAUAAAUGACGGUACUAUUUGUAAGGUCCGGCUAACUACGUGCCAGCAGCCGCGGUAAUACGUAGGGACCAAGCGUUGUUCGGAUUUACUGGGCGUAAAGGGCGCGUAGGCGGCGUGGUAAGUCAUCUGUGAAAUCUCCGAGCUUAACUCGGAACGGUCAGAUGAUACUGCUGUGCUAGAGUACAGAAGGGGCAAUCGGAAUUCUUGGUGUAGCGGUGAAAUGCGUAGAUAUCAAGAGGAACACCUGAGGUGAAGACGGGUUGCUGGGCUGAUACUGACGCUGAGGCGCGAAAGCUAGGGUAGCAAACGGGAUUAGAUACCCUUGUAGUCCCUGAGCGGGCUGGCAAGGCGCAU